This 396-nucleotide ribosomal RNA is filed under the name Triticum aestivum (bread wheat). Its description in RNAcentral is "partial small subunit ribosomal RNA". The record is from RNAcentral. Lineage: Eukaryota; Viridiplantae; Streptophyta; Magnoliopsida; Poales; Poaceae.
AUGGGAUGUGAUACAGAUGGCAGAAAACUACACACACAAACAUGCACCAUCCAUAUUCCAAUCAGAGAAGCUCGUCGAGCUAUCCAGCGAUUUGUGCAUGUCACCUUGAGAAUCCAUACAAUGGAGGCGGCCCGAGCAGCGUGGUCGACGGAGCCGGUCGGAGUAGUCGGACAGGGGCGAGUAGUCGGCCUCGCCGCCGAUGAGCUCGGCAACGAAGGCCGCCGCCGAAGACGACGCCGACUCCUCCUCGGCGCCGGAGUACCAGCCACCGUCCUGCUCGGCGGUGGUGCAGGUGCUGGCGGUGGUGUCGACGAAGAAGAAGGCGUCCUUGGCACAGAGGAGGCAGGACGCGUUGUCUUCCGGCAUAGCCGGCCGGUGGGGGCCAUCACUGAGUAG